Long non-coding RNA from Eucalyptus grandis, 2951 nucleotides. RefSeq lists it as uncharacterized. Lineage: Eukaryota; Viridiplantae; Streptophyta; Magnoliopsida; Myrtales; Myrtaceae. The record is from RefSeq and is a predicted model, not a curated record. The transcript has 3 exons.
AGGUUUUCUCACCCUCCGCCUCUCUCGGAUUUCCAAACCCUCCGCAAACCCCUCCGCCUCUCUCAAACCCUUCCCCAUUUCUCGCUCUUGCCGCGAAGGAUGGAAAGAAAUCGACUGCGGGCGACCCUUUACUGUGGGUGGUAUUUCCGAUCAUUCGACAGAUACCGCCACGUCGUUCUCCAUAAUUAUGGAGAAAAUGCUGUGGCUUACUUUCAUUUCAGUUCGGUUUUAUCGGAUUUAGGUAUACCUGUUUCAUGUAGUCUUUCAGGUAUACGUGCUAUUACUGAUCUUUUCGCAAGAUUGCCCGCAGCCAGCAUGAAGUGGACACAGUGGAAGCCAUUUUGGAUCCGAUGGGUCAAGGUUUGAUGUCGUUCAGUGGGAGGGUUAAUUUCCCAACCAACCAGGUGAGAAUGUUUAGUCAGAUAUGAUUGUCAAUUAUUUUUUGAAUGAUUUCAUGAUUAAGAGGCUCAGACUCAAUCGUUUUUUUUUUUUUUGGUGGUAAAGGUAAAAAGUAUUAUAACUUAGGACGAGAAUACAGGACCGGCUCCGUCGUUCCUGUUGCAGAACUUCCCGGAUGGCGCCGGCCAUUCGGACCGACUAUCCGGACCGACUUGAAAGUUCUGCAAUAAGAAUUGCAACGACGGAGUCUGAGCCUCUUAAUCAUGAAAUCAUUUAAGAAAUAACUGAUAAUGAUAUUUGGCUAAACAUUCUCAGCCGGUUGAGGAAAUUAACCCUCCCGGUGACCGAAAUCAAACCUUGACCCGUCGGAUGUCCGUCCGGCGCAAGAGAAGAUCUGAUUAUUCUUGCAAAAAUCUACUCUUUGGGCACGCCCCCUCUCCCUGCCCAGGACCUCCGCUCCCUCUUCCUGCCCCCUCUUCCUGCCCCAGGACCUGCCGCUGGCCCCUCAACAGCAGGCUCACCAGUAGGCUCAGCAGCUGAGUCAAGAGUUUGGACAUUGACAAAAAGUAAUCCGUGCUUAACGAGUCAGCAGUGGGUUCUAUUUGUUUUUUUUAUAUGUAGAAGUAAAUGCAAUUUGUGAAGGUUUUAUUUGUAUUUUUAUUUGUAGAUAUGGUUCACACUUGUGAGGAAAUGCAAUUUGCGAAUUAAUUUGAAUGCUGCCUAAUUCACUAAUUUAUUUCUUGUCUAUCUUAGGUGGAAUUGAUUGAUGGGCCGACUGAUAAAUUUCUUCUGUCUAUCUUUGGGAGAAUUGAUUGAUGAGCCGAAUGAGAAUUUGCUUAUUGCUGUGUAUGCUAAUGAAUGGUUUCUUGCCCAAAACCAUUACUUGCAAUGAUUUGCUUAUACUAUUUGGACAGAUUGUGCAUUGCUUAUUGCUUGGGUGCUUGUAGUAAGAAGUCGGAACAAAAUUGCUGAAACCAUAUGACUUCUUACUACAAAAGCAUAAUCAGCACGCUUCGGGCAAAACUAUGGUUUUGUAAAAGACAAAUUCUGGCUGAUCUUUUCAGGCAUUCAAACCUACAGCUGAUAAUUCGACUAAAAAACCUAUAGCUAAAUAAAUCUUCUAGUUUGUGGCAGAGUAUCUGUACAUUAGUUCAUUGGUGUUAUUUGAUAUAUAAAAACCAAAAGUGCGUGAAGACUGUUUGGCUGCAGUUGCAUUUCAAGUUUUUUAAAGAUGAUUGGCUGCUAGGAACAUGAGUUUCCGAACUGUUUCCUCGGAUCAAGGGCGCCGGAUACUACUGGCAUGGUUGCUAGUUCAGAUUUGAAAGUUGAGGUUAUGGAGGAGAAGUUACUUGGAGAUUUAACUCGUGAAAUAUGUGCACUCCUCUCUGCGAUAGCUUCCCUGGCAUUAAAUACAGGGCUUCCUUCACUAGAACAAUUGGGGCAUGCCAACCGCACUGACAUGUCUUCUUUGCAGGAGUUGGACAUCUACGCACAAAGCUCUAUGGUUAGGUAUAAAUGAUGAGCAGAUUUUUGUUAUUCCCUGUUCUUUGUGUGAAUUGGUAUAUUCAUAUUUGAUUCUUUUCACUCUUCUAAUCCAUUUACAGUUUCCUUAUGAAUCACAAAGGUCUGGCUCUUCCUGUAUUACAGAUGUGUUUAGAAGUUUUCUGUGACCAAAGUUUCUUCUUUUUGUGCUACUGUGAAGUUUCUUCUUUUUGUGCUACUGUGAUUCUUCUAGCUAUAUCAACCAAUAAUGUGGAACUUCAUCAAUUUGUCGCUAAAGAUCUUUUUUCAGCUGUAAUUCGUGGUUUGACUUUAGAAUUUGAGAUGCUUGAGAAUGUGGAAAUUGGCGAGCAGAAACAGAGGGAUGAAGCUUACAAAGAAGAAAACUGGAAUCUAUGAUGACAAAUUCAGUGAUGACCCUGCAUCGGAGAAGAAAAUACUUACACAAUGCAGAAAAUCAGAGUGUUGCGAUUGGAGAAUCACAGGAAAGCAGGGUUGUCUUGACAGAUACUGAAAGAUUGUUUCAGGCCUCGAGGUUGAUGAAGGUUGAGCAUUUCUUGGGGAUAAAGCGGAAGCCUGAGCCUAGUAACUUGGGAGUACCAAAGAAGCCGAAAACUUGAAGUGUUAUUGACAGGUCUUCUAUUAUUUGUUGAGUUCGAGCAACUUACUAUUGGGGCUGGAAGUAACUUCAGGCUCUGGGCGUCGAUUGCAGCUUCACAUUACAUUUUUCUAUAUACCUUUUAGCUUUAUCAACUAUGAAGAUCAAAAUAUAGAUGCUCUUGUUGCUUUUGAAGAUGUACUUAGACCUGUAGCCAACAAGCCAGAACCAUUUUUUUUGAGAAUUCUUUGUUGCCUGAGAAUUGAAUGGCACCUUUAUUAGUGAUCUGCUUCAUUGUUACUGUUCCUAGAGAUGGUUGUACCUGUUCCUAGAGAUUGUUGUCUAGAUUAUGUGAUUCGCAGGUGGCUAUUUCACAGAUGCUACUCUUGCUGUUAGACAAACGACUGAGCAAGUGAAAUGCUCUACAUGUGUUUAUGGAGAGAUAAUGGCCAUC